GGCGUGCGGGGUGCUUACCAUGCAGUCGACGGAAAGGCCCUUCGGGGUACUCGAGUGGCGAACGGGUGAGUAACACGUGGGUGAUCUGCCCUGCACUUCGGGAUAAGCCUGGGAAACUGGGUCUAAUACCGGAUAUACCUCAUGGGAUGCAUGUUUUGUGGGGGAAAGCUUUUGCGGUGUGGGAUGGGCCCGCGGCCUAUCAGCUUGUUGGUGAGGUUACGGCUCACCAAGGCGUCGACGGGUAGCCGGCCUGAGAGGGUGUCCGGCCACACUGGGACUGAGAUACGGCCCAGACUCCUACGGGAGGCAGCAGUGGGGAAUAUUGCACAAUGGGCGCAAGCCUGAUGCAGCGACGCCGCGUGGGGGAUGACGGCCUUCGGGUUGUAAACCUCUUUCAGUGCCGACGAAGCGCAAGUGACGGUAGGCACAGAAGAAGCACCGGCCAACUACGUGCCAGCAGCCGCGGUAAUACGUAGGGUGCGAGCGUUGUCCGGAAUUACUGGGCGUAAAGAGCUUGUAGGUGGUUUGUCGCGUUGUUCGUGAAAUCUCACGGCUUAACUGUGAGCGUGCGGGCGAUACGGGCAGACUUGAGUACUGCAGGGGAGACUGGAAUUCCUGGUGUAGCGGUGGAAUGCGCAGAUAUCAGGAGGAACACCGGUGGCGAAGGCGGGUCUCUGGGCAGUAACUGACGCUGAGAAGCGAAAGCGUGGGGAGCGAACAGGAUUAGAUACCCUGGUAGUCCACGCCGUAAACGGUGGGUACUAGGUGUGGGUUUCCUUCCUUGGGAUCCGUGCCGUAGCUAACGCAUUAAGUACCCCGCCUGGGGAGUACGGCCGCAAGGCUAAAACUCAAAGAAAUUGACGGGGGCCCGCACAAGCGGCGGAGCAUGUGGAUUAAUUCGAUGCAACGCGAAGAACCUUACCUGGGCUUGACAUGCACUAGAACACCUAGAGAUAGGUGCCCCCUUGUGGUUGGUGUGCAGUGGUGCAUGGCUGUCGUCAGCUCGUGUCGUGAG
Molecule: ribosomal RNA, 1015 nt
Filed under: uncultured bacterium
Lineage: Bacteria
Description: bacterial SSU rRNA
Rfam family: Bacterial small subunit ribosomal RNA
Source: RNAcentral